AUUGAACGCUGGCGGCAGGCCUAACACAUGCAAGUCGAGCGAGCGGCGGACGGGUGAGUAAUGUCUGGGAAACUGCCCGAUGGAGGGGGAUAACUACUGGAAACGGUAGCUAAUACCCCAUAUCCUCAGAUGUUCCCAGAGGGGUUUAGCUAGUAGGUGGGGUAAUGGCGCACCUAGGCGACGAUCCCUAGCUGGUCUGAGAGGAUGACCAGCAACACUGGAACUGAGACACGGUCAAGAUUCCUACGGGAGGAAGCAGUGGGGAAUAUUGCACAAUGGGCGCAAGCCUGAUGCAGCCAUGCCGCGGGUGUGAAGAAGGCCUUCGGGUUGUAAAGCACUUUCAGCGGGGAGGCGUUACCCGCAGAAGAAGCACCGGCUAACUCCGUGCCAGCAGCCGCGGUAAUAC
Molecule: ribosomal RNA, 406 nt
Filed under: uncultured bacterium
Lineage: Bacteria
Description: partial 16S ribosomal RNA
Rfam family: Bacterial small subunit ribosomal RNA
Source: RNAcentral